UACGGAAGGAGCAGUGGGGAAUAUUGCACAAUGGGCGCAAGCCUGAUGCAGCCAUGCCGCGUGUAUGAAGAAGGCCUUCGGGUUGUAAAGUACUUUCAGUCGUGAGGAAGGUGUUAAGGUUAAUAACCUUAGCAAUUGACGUUAGCGACAGAAGAAGCACCGGCUAACUCCGUGCCAGCAGCCGCGGUAAUACGGAGGGUGCGAGCGUUAAUCGGAAUUACUGGGCGUAAAGGGCACGCAGGCGGUUAAUUAAGUUGGAUGUGAAAUCCCCGGGCUUAACCUGGGAAUGGCAUUCAAGACUGGUUAGCUAGAGUCUUGUAGAGGGGGUAGAAUUCCAUGUGUAGCGGUGAAAUGCGUAGAGAUGUGGAGGAAUACCGGUGGCGAAGGCGGCCCCUGGACAAAGACUGACGCUCAUGUGCGAAAGCGUGGGGAGCAAACAGGGAUUAGAUACC
This 452-nucleotide ribosomal RNA is filed under the name uncultured bacterium. RNAcentral's name for it is "bacterial SSU rRNA". It matches the Rfam family "Bacterial small subunit ribosomal RNA", at positions 340 to 786 of the family's 1533-position model. The record is from RNAcentral.